Molecule: unclassified non-coding RNA, 238 nt
Filed under: Phialocephala sp.
Lineage: Eukaryota; Fungi; Ascomycota; Leotiomycetes; Helotiales; Mollisiaceae
Also listed under: 2 other names
Description: partial contains 5.8S ribosomal RNA, internal transcribed spacer 2, and large subunit ribosomal RNA
Rfam family: 5.8S ribosomal RNA (bases 1-52)
Source: RNAcentral
AACGCACAUUGCGCCCUGUGGUAUUCCGCAGGGCAUGCCUGUUCGAGCGUCAUUUAACCACUCACGCCUAGCGUGGUAUUGGGGCACGCGGUCUCCGCGGCCCUCAAAAUUAGUGGCGGCGCCGGUGGGCUCUAAGCGUAGUACAUACUCCCGCUAUAGAGUCCCCCCGGUGGCUCGCCAGAACCCCCAAUUUUUACAGGUUGACCUCGGAUCAGGUAGGGAUACCCGCUGAACUUAA